RNAcentral lists this ribosomal RNA (253 nucleotides) under uncultured bacterium. RNAcentral describes it as "partial 16S ribosomal RNA". It matches the Rfam family "Bacterial small subunit ribosomal RNA", at positions 524 to 776 of the family's 1533-position model. The record is from RNAcentral.
UACGAAGGGGGCUAGCGUUGCUCGGAAUCACUGGGCGUAAAGGGCGCGUAGGCGGCCUGAUAAGUCGGGGGUGAAAGCCCGUGGCUCAACCACGGAACGGCCUUCGAUACUGUUGGGCUUGAGUGUGGCAGAGGUCGGUGGAACUGCGAGUGUAGAGGUGAAAUUCGUAGAUAUUCGCAAGAACACCGGUGGCGAAGGCGGCCGACUGGGCCAUCACUGACGCUGAGGCGCGAAAGCGUGGGGAGCAAACAGG